GUACGCUGGCGGCACGCCUUAUACAUGCAAGUCGAACGCAGUAGCAAUACUGAGUGGCAGACGGGUGAGUAUAAUGUGGGAAUCUGCCUUUUGGUUUGGAAUAACUUGGGGAAACCCGAGCUAAUACUGGAUAAGCCCUUACGGGGAAAGUUUUAAUGCCAAAAGAUGAGCCCGCACUUGAUUAGCUAGUUGGUAAGGUAAAAGCUUACCAAGGCAACGAUCAAUAGCUGUUCUUAGAGGAAGACCAGCCACAUUGGGACUGAGACACGGCCCAGACUCCUACGGGAGGCAGCAGUGGGGAAUCUUGCACAAUGGGGGAAACCCUGAUGCAGCGAUGCCGCGUGAGUGAAGAAGGCCUUUGGGUUGUAAAGCUCUUUCGUCGGGGAAGAAAAUGACUGUACCCGAAUAAGAAGGUCCGGC
Molecule: ribosomal RNA, 420 nt
Filed under: uncultured bacterium
Lineage: Bacteria
Description: bacterial SSU rRNA
Rfam family: Bacterial small subunit ribosomal RNA
Source: RNAcentral